AGUGAACGCUGGCGGUAGGCCUAACACAUGCAAGUCGAACGGCAGCACAGUAAGAGCUUGCUCUUAUGGGUGGCGAGUGGCGGACGGGUGAGGAAUACAUCGGAAUCUACUUUUUCGUGGGGGAUAACGUAGGGGAAACUUACGCUAAUACCGCAUACGACCUCGGUGAAGCAGGGACCGUCGGGCCGUUGCGCGAUUGA
This 200-nucleotide ribosomal RNA is filed under the name uncultured bacterium. RNAcentral describes it as "partial 16S ribosomal RNA". It matches the Rfam family "Bacterial small subunit ribosomal RNA", at positions 29 to 224 of the family's 1533-position model. The record is from RNAcentral.